Molecule: ribosomal RNA, 270 nt
Filed under: uncultured bacterium
Lineage: Bacteria
Description: partial 16S ribosomal RNA
Rfam family: Bacterial small subunit ribosomal RNA
Source: RNAcentral
UUUUCCUACGGGGGGCAGCAGUGAGGAAUAUUGGUCAAUGGGCUUACGCCUGAACCAGCCAAGUCGCGUGAGGGAAGACUGCCCUAUGGGUUGUAAACCUCUUUUGUCAGGGAGCAAUUGGCGCUACGUGUAGCGUUAUCGAGAGUACCUGAAGAAAAAGCAUCGGCUAACUCCGUGCCAGCAGCCGCGUUAAUACGGAGGAUGCGAGCGUUAUCCGGGUAUACUGGGUUUAAAGGUUGCGUAGGUGGAAUGCCAAGUCAGCGGUAAAAU